GAUGAACGCUGGCGGCGUGCUUAACACAUGCAAGUCGAACGGGAAACUUUUCAUUGAAGCUUCGGCAGAUUUGGUCUGUUUCUAGUGGCGGACGGGUGAGUAACGCGUGGGUAACCUGCCUUAUACAGGGGGAUAACAACCAGAAAUGGUUGCUAAUACCGCAUAAGCGCACAGGACCGCAUGGUCCGGUGUGAAAAACUCCGGUGGUAUAAGAUGGACCCGCGUUGGAUUAGCUAGUUGGCAGGGUAACGGCCUACCAAGGCGACGAUCCAUAGCCGGCCUGGGAGGGUGAACGGCCACAUUGGGACUGAGACACGGCCCAGACUCCUACGGGAGGCAGCAGUGGGGAAUAUUGCACAAUGGGGGAAACCCUGAUGCAGCGACGCCGCGUGAAGGAAGAAGUAUCUCGGUAUGUAAACUUCUAUCAGCAGGGAAGAU
This 438-nucleotide ribosomal RNA is filed under the name uncultured bacterium. RNAcentral describes it as "bacterial SSU rRNA". It matches the Rfam family "Bacterial small subunit ribosomal RNA", at positions 28 to 449 of the family's 1533-position model. The record is from RNAcentral.